AAGGCAGAAACACAUUACCGUGACGUGUCGUGGCGCUGCGCCGUGGCCACCAAUCGGAUGCAAGCGUUAGGCGAACCAUGCGACACGACACAAUGUACAGUGUGUGUCUACCCGUUAUAAAUGUAUGAAACCGAUACCUACGCUACUGGAGCGCCACAACACGCCAGGCCACGGUAAUUAGUUUCUGCCUUUAACCGAUUACUACGUGUCAUGUGUGAGCGAGAUGCCGCUAAAGGUAGGUUGCACAAUCGUAUAUAUUAGAAGUUAUGAUAGUCGCCACCCGCCAUUACUGUCACGGAAACCUAACCGUCGAGAAAACUCUGAACCCGAGGCUUUGUUAAUCUUCCUCUUAUUGCUACCUGAUAUACGGAACUAUAUUUCUGAAUAAUUUUCCCAGCAGACUACGUCAUCUGCUUUGGAGACCAGGAAGCAAAGAUGUUUAACGACACUAAUCAAGAUACCAGCGAGUUAACAAUGGAAACUUUCCAAUUAGUAUUACUACUGUUCCACCGGACUGACCCAGGACCAGAUGUUGGUACAGUUCGAACUGGAAGAUAUCAAGUUGGAUGAAACGAAAUGUUACUUGAUCUGCAUCAAAAUAGAUAUUCAUCACGCAAGAAAGAGCGGAGAUAUAAUCGCGUACCCGCAAAAAAGCAGUAAAUAUGAAAAGUCCAAAAACCAAAAAUAUUUUUUGGCAUUAAACAAGAAGAAGUGUGCAGAAUUACCUGGGUCAUUGGCAAUUCAAUGGCUACGGUAAUAUCCUCAAGUUUACUGCAGACAAGCAGUCUACCCUCAACGACCCUUAGGGCAGAACAUUUAUGACUUCUCAAUCCAAAAUGGAUAUGGCCGAGCCUAGCUGAUUGUGAGUGGGAUCAGACUGACUAGAUACGAAAAUUCUGCUGUAUGCUACUCUCAUCAAAACUUCAUAUAAUAAGUGAGGUGAAAAAGAGACAAGACAGCUUGACCACAUCACAUAAUGAAGAAAGGAUUGAAGACCAAGACCUGCUGAAAAGUUCGCUGGCCGGCAACUCAUCAUCCGAGUAUCUUGUUGAAGCAAAUGCUGGUUGAAGAUAUCUCACUGUUUGUACUACAGUACAACUAGAUAUCUACUUGUAAGUAAGACUUAACAAGUUAGGAAAGCUAGUACUAAGCGUUACGCGCUCGUCUUAAUUCCAUAUAAACCAGUGAUCGAGGAGGUCAUUCACACCGAUAUUUGAUCGUUUCUUUUACAUCACAUUCUGCAGCUUUACACCCUUACAUUUAAUAGGACUCACUCACAAAUAAACUCAAAUCCAACAGUGAGACACGGGACCACUCUCAUUUGGGUCAGUGACCUCUAUUUUUGUAUUUUAUGUGUUUCGCUCAGAACCACCGUCUUAGCUCACCCUUUCAUCGUUGUCGUUUCGUCGUCAUUCUUACCGUUGCUACAAACGUAAGCAAGGAAUCAAAAGUACUCACAAUAUGAGGCUACUUUAUAAAAAAAAUCGGACUACCGUCAAGAUGAAAUAUUUCUUCAAUAAUCAU
This is a long non-coding RNA of Spodoptera frugiperda (fall armyworm), 1524 nucleotides long. RefSeq lists it as uncharacterized. The record is from RefSeq and is a predicted model, not a curated record. NCBI's taxonomy places the organism in Eukaryota, Metazoa, Arthropoda, Insecta, Lepidoptera, Noctuidae. The transcript is spliced from 2 exons.